This 172-nucleotide ribosomal RNA is filed under the name uncultured bacterium. RNAcentral's name for it is "partial 16S ribosomal RNA". It matches the Rfam family "Bacterial small subunit ribosomal RNA", at positions 1319 to 1500 of the family's 1533-position model. The record is from RNAcentral.
CACGAAGCCGGAGUUGCUAGUAAUCGCGAAUCAGAAUGUCGCGGUGAAUGCGUUCCCGGGUCUUGUACACACCGCCCGUCACACCAUGGAAGUUGGGGGUGCCCAAAGCCGGCAAGCAAAUAUGCUGUCUAAGGCAAAACCAAUGACUGGGGUGAAGUCGUAACAAGGUAAC